RNAcentral lists this ribosomal RNA (256 nucleotides) under uncultured bacterium. RNAcentral's name for it is "partial 16S ribosomal RNA". It matches the Rfam family "Bacterial small subunit ribosomal RNA", at positions 98 to 354 of the family's 1533-position model. The record is from RNAcentral.
CGGGACGGGUGAGUAACGCGUGGAGAACCUGCCGUAUACUGGGGGAUAACACUUAGAAAUAGGUGCUAAUACCGCAUAAGCGCGCAGCUUCGCAUGAAGCGGUGUGAAAAACUCUGGUGGUAUACGAUGGUUCCGCGUCUGAUUAGCUAGUUGGUGGGGUAAUGGCCUACCAAGGCAACGAUCAGUAGCCGGCCUGAGAGGGUGAACGGCCACAUUGGGACUGAGACACGGCCCAAACUCCUACGGGAGGCAGCAG